GGCAUGGGGCUCCCUGGGCUGUUCUGCUUGGCCGUGCUGGCCGCCAGCAGCUUCUCCAAGGCGCAGGAGGAAGAGACAGACUUUCACUAUGUUGGCUACACUGGUUUUGAACUCCUGACCUCAAGUGAUCCGUCCGCCUGGACCUCCCAAACGCUGGAAUUACAGGUGUUUGCCACCGAGCCUGGCCAAACCAGUACCUUCUUAAGGUGCUUGAUCAAUGUUAUUUUCUUUCUUCCUCCUUGGACCUUUUCAUCUCCCAGAAAUCACCCCUGUGGUCUCCAUUGCCUACAAAGUCCUGGAAGUUUUCCCCAAAGGCCGCCGGGUGCUCAUAACCUGCCACGCACCCCAGGUACCACCGCCCAUCACCUAUUCCCUCUGU
RNAcentral lists this small RNA (379 nucleotides) under Pongo abelii (Sumatran orangutan). Its description in RNAcentral is "processed transcript". The record is from RNAcentral. Lineage: Eukaryota; Metazoa; Chordata; Mammalia; Primates; Hominidae.